GCUCAGUUGGUUAAGCACAUGACUCUUGAUUUGGGCUCAGGUCACGAUCUCACACUUGGUGGGUUCGAGCCCCACAUUGGGCU
RNAcentral lists this transfer RNA (83 nucleotides) under Felis catus (domestic cat). It matches the Rfam family "tRNA". Rfam says of the family: Transfer RNA (tRNA) molecules are approximately 80 nucleotides in length. Their secondary structure includes four short double-helical elements and three loops (D, anti-codon, and T loops). The record is from Rfam by way of RNAcentral. RNAcentral also lists the same sequence under 2 other names. Lineage: Eukaryota; Metazoa; Chordata; Mammalia; Carnivora; Felidae.